This is a long non-coding RNA of Episyrphus balteatus (marmalade hoverfly), 3213 nucleotides long. RefSeq lists it as uncharacterized. The record is from RefSeq and is a predicted model, not a curated record. Lineage: Eukaryota; Metazoa; Arthropoda; Insecta; Diptera; Syrphidae. The transcript is spliced from 4 exons.
UUUGUGAUAAAUUCACCUUGGACCAAAUUAUAUUGUUUUAUUAGCCUCAUUAAUGCAAGUGGUGGUUCAAAAAUGUGUUUGCAAUUCUAAAAUAAAUACAAUUUCGAUUUUAAACAUUCCAAUAUGGUUAGCAAAGUUAGUUCAGGAAACAAGUUUUCUUUGUGGAAAAAGUGGAGUAAAUCCUGAAAAAUCGGAGCGUUGGAGUAGAUUAUUUUUUUCCCUCAAAAGUGGAGCAAAUUUGCUCCGAUCGGAGCAAGGUUUUAACCCUGACGCACAUAUUUCAGAAUAGUAAUAUAGUUUUUAUCGUAUCUAGAGUAGGUAAUUAGGAGGUUAUUGGUACCAAAAUGCAAAAAAAGCAUAUUAAUUUAGGGCCAAUUUUUCAAUAGUCAGUUAAACAGUCAUUUAGUACUUAUUCCCCAGAUAGAGAAAAAAACAGUUUUUCAACAGUUAGAUAUAGCUUAUUUCUAGGAAUAAAACAUUUAUUAGAGGAAUAAAACCAUUGAAUAAUUACAAAUAGAAGUGCACACCCAGGGAAACUUCCGCUGUAAAAUUCUCGGCUCUAGUAUCGUGCGUUGAAUUAAAAAAGCAAAUCCAACAAUCCAAAAGCAAAGCCAACAAUCCAAAAGCAAAUCCAGCAACCCAAAAUCAAAUACUAAACCGCUUAUUCAUAUUGAUAAAAGUUUACCCAUUCCAAAAAGUGGAGAUAGCCUAGAGGAUAAGGUGAAUGUCUGGUUAAGACUCAACUCGAAAAUACAUGAUAGUUGAGGCGCAAACAUGCAGUUCAUCUAUCUUCCGAGACGCAUAAAAAUUAUUCUAAGGAAUAAUCUCAACAAAAAUAGUGUGUCAAUUGUCAAAGCUGUUUUGAAGAAAAUAUUGAUAAGACGGAUUUCUUUGAGAUUAUAAAUUAUAAAGAUGUUUUUUCACAAAUUUAAAGACGGCGUUUAAAAAAUACAAGGGAACACAAGAAAACAAAAACUAUUAUGAAUAAAAAUGACUUAAAUUUGAAUAUUUUUGAAUUUUACAUUUUUUUUUGUUAUUCUGUAGAAGAGAGUUGAACACGAAGUCGUCCUUAGCUUUUUACAAAGUAAAAAAAGUUUGUUAUUGACAACUGGAAAAGUCAAAAUGCGACACUAGUGGGAAAAAUAAGCAUCUACAUAUACACAUCAAAAAUCAGAAGGCAUAAGAAUACAUGUGUUUACAUUCAGCAUUCAAGUUUUCCGCCAAAAAUCACAAUCAGAGAAAAGGAGACACAAAAAAGACCCAUUAGGGGCCAGUUGUACAAAUAUUUAAUCCGUGGAUCAGCAACUUUUAUCUUUUGAAAUCGGUAGAAAGGCUGAAGUUUACAACUGGUUCAAGGUUCAUAUAUGUAGUGAUAGCCACAUUCAUGCUUGAACCGAAGUUGACCCGCAGCUAAUCCGCCGAAAUCUAUUAAAUCUAUCUAUCUAUUAAAAAGGAGUAUCAUGGCAGAAAAAAGGCAGAACAAAUUUUAAACAAUUUUUUUUAUUAACCUCAAUAGUUUCAAAAAUUUAACACGGAUUUAGCAAUUUAACGCAAUUCACAGACGGCCUAAGUAAAAAAAAAAGUACUUAAAAAAUUCACUUUUUUUUAUAAAAAUCGCAGAAAAACUAGUGUUGCAAGUUGCAACUGAUGGUGUCGCGAAUUAGGUUGACCAAUUUAUAGAGAGAUUUCACUAAAAAUCUACCUCUUAUGGGACAUAAGUUCAAUCCUGGGGUGCAAAAUUGAGAAAUUUGAUUUAUGACCACAUUUUAGGUCAAAAUAAACAAUUUAUAAACAAGACCUCAAGCCCACUUAGGAUUGAAUUUAAGUAUUAUUCACGUUAGUAUUUAACGAAUUGAAUUAGCCUUGGUUUUUUAACAUGCUGAUUGUCAUUCCAAAAAAAAUGUAAGUAUGUUUAAUUAGGUAAACAGAAAUCAACUAAGCUAAAAUCGAAUUUCUUCAUCAUUUUCGCUCUCUUCAAGAAAUAAUUCUAUCGACGACAUUAUUCACUGACACUUGAAAAUGAACUUUUUUUAUUGCAAUACAAUUUUUUUUUACAAAAUCUAUUUUAUUUGUAUGAAAAUGUCCAACAACGACGUGCUUAAGUGCAAAAAAUAUGAGACAAAUCUAUCGGGAAUAAAUAUUGUAAUUGAUGGAAAAUUUACAUAUAACGGGGCUGCCAAGAUGUUCGACCCAUUUUAGGCAUGAGAAACGCGAACCUAUAAAUAGGGCUGCCAAGCCUUCGGCACCUGAAGUGUCCGGCUUAGACCCCUCCGGUCUAAAAUCCGAUAGGCAAUUCUGGUGCAUUAUAUUUUCCUAGAGCAGCUCUAUUGUUUAAGAAGUAGUAGAGCAAUUGAGGGGAUGAGCUAAGUAAUCCGAUGGUCGCCUCUUGGACUAUUAGUUUUUAUAAAACCAAUUAAAAAGUUCAAAUGAAUUACACUUAGGAGCAAAAAAAUGGAAUCAAACUUUUCGUUCUGUAAAAACGAUAAUUGGUCAGGAUUUAAUUAACAUACAUGAAUGUUAAUUGUACCAUUGAAAAGCUUUAAAUCAAUGCUAGGAACUUAAAAACCCGUGCACUUUAUAUAGAUCCAAUCAACAUAAAUGAAGUAUGUAAGGAAAAAAAGACUGAAAUUGAAGCAGAGAGUAUCAAGAAAAUUUAACAUUUAAAUAAAAUUGAAGUACAAUUUAUUGACAGAUAGCGAUGAUACUGUCGUAUGCAUUUUUAUGUUUUUACCAACAACUCAAAGUAAAAAAUUCAAGGUUUUUAAAUGAGACCAUGAGACUUGAAGAAACAUAAUUUUAUCCAUUGCAAUUUUUGUUUUUGAUAUAAAUAACACAGUGAUAGUUUUUAGAACUUUUUUUUUGCAACAGAGCGGAGACACAUUCUAGUUAAUUCGAGUGUGCUGAAUUCAGUGGUGGCAACCAUUUUAAAAACUUGGCUCAGGUUUUCGAGAUAUUUCGAAAAUAAAAUCUUAGGUCGGGACUAUUAAAAUACUGAUAAUUUCGAAUAGCUAAGUUUUUUUAAGCAGUUUUUAGUUUAGAGAGAAGCUAUUCCUGUAUAUAGCUAUAUGUUUAACACUAUUCUAACCUAGAUUGUUAUGUUUCGGUCGCUUACAGAGCAUUUUUUAAACAAAAACUUCAAUUUUUUCAUGUUUUUUUUUUUAUUUUUUGACUUUCAAAGCCUUUAAUAUGGAUGCAAUUUGAGUUUAACAUUGA